CGGUAUCGAAAAUACCGGUGCAGUCAUCAAGCCGUCACUAGGGGGUUCUAACGAUAUUAUCGGACUCAGUGCUGUACCGGACUCAAUACCUUGCUAGAAACGUUAGGCCCUUUAACAAGAUUCCGACUCGUGACCUAGACAAGUCUCCAGGUCUGGCCAGAAACUUCGAAUUUGCUCAGCUGUCGCCAAGGCAUACGUUACUUGGCUGGCUUCCUCCGGAACCCAAUGUGGAGGGCCAUCUCACUUAUAAUGUCCAGUAUGGCGAGACAGAAGUCAUUGAAGACAUACCUGGGAAACAACCUCACGAAGAAUACCACGUAUCCAAUGAGUAUUCGUGCUGGCGUGGUGCUGAAAAAUGGCACUAAACUGUAUGGGCCACCACUGAACAAUUCGUUUACCACGCUCGUGGAAGAUUAUGCUCCAGCAACGAAUAUCCGUCUCGCGCACACCUAUUCGAGCCGGCGAAGCCAUCCAGCCUAGAGUAACUACGCCUCGUACAGGAUCGCGUGGAGAGCCGAGCGAGGACCGAAGGACGUCGACAAUUUCACCGUGCUCAUAUGCCUGAAAACUAGCUGUGUCAUUACUAAAACACAGAAAAAUCAAACAUUAUGCUCCAGCCUUCUCGAACGUACGAUAUCAGAAUUCAAUCAAACUACCAUCUUCCUCUGAACCAGAUGCGUCAAGAAGAGUCUUAAUAUCGUUCACCACAGAUGCGACUUCAGACACUAAAGCGCCAGAAGCUCCAAAAAACUUGCAAUUUACUCCGUUGACAUUAACGAAUGUGCUACUCCGUUGGGAUCCUUCAUAUUCGUAGGACAAUGCUGACGUUUCUUAUGAUAUAAAAUUCGCUGGUAGACUGAUUAAAGGCUAGACGGCAACAACGUUUACGGCAUUCAAUUUGAAGAAGAGAAAUAAAAAGUAUUCGGUUGUUAGUACUCCAUUCGUAACGUUGAAAAAUGGCAAAAAACUAUAUGGACCAGCACUUCACAGCACGUCCAUCACGCUUUCAAAAGAGUACAGCGUCUUGUCAUCGAAAGCAAAAAAUUUCGUUACAUAUUUGAUUUCCUGGCAGACCGAGCAGGAACCAAGACUACUAGAUAACUUCACCGUGUUUGCAUGUUACACGAGGAUAAACUGUACGUCUGAGCUGACCAAGCAUACGUCUUGACAUGAGGCCUCAAUAUCCUCGAAGGUUCAGAACAUAUUCGGUUAGUGUCGUUGCAAAAUUAAAGGCUGAACUUGGCGAACGAACGUAUGGACCGCCGCUGAACGGCUCUUUUACCGCAGUCGUUGAAGAUUUUUUUUUACAGAUUACCCUUAUAUGUCAAACGUUAAUAUUUUUGGCCUGGUCAGGUUUAUAAACUGGGUAAAAUUCACGGUGGAGUGGAAACUUCUCAGCUCCACGCGGCGACCAAAUGGAUAUAUCGUGUAUUCUAUAUGGGAGAGACAUUCAGAUCGCGAAAACGCCAGCAGUAAGCUACAGAGGAAGUCGUCUGCUCGUCAGUCACGCAGUUCAGCCCUUCGAACUAAGUAUAAUGGACCGUCAAUAGCACAAAGCCACACUGACGUGUUUGUGAAAUAUUUCCGGUUAUUAUUCCGGUCAUUUCAGCGAGAUAAGGCCGUGUUCAGAAAUGUAUCGACAAGGGUUAACAUCCUUGCAAUAGAGCCGGGUCCUGUAUGGAGGAUUAGCACUAAUGCUACUUCUAGUAGAGCAACGCUCGUGUGGAAACGUCCCAAAAACGUACCACACGAGAUCAUUUGUCACAUCAUCGAUGCUAAAAGUCACAUCAACUUAGCGUUAUAUCUAUAUGAAAGUAACAUUUGAAAAUCAGGAUUUCGACGGGGUUUCGCAAGCCUUCGAUUUUAAAACAGACGUUGGAGUUCCUGGCGCCGUGCAGGAACUGUACGCAUGUCGGCGGGAUGCACUGGCAUAGUAAGUGUACGUUGGAAUUCCCCUGAUAAAAGCACGGCCAAUGGGCCAAUCAGCUAUUACAUAGUGCAAGGCUACAGCGAGAAUCAAAUAUUAUUAAUUGAUGUUAACUUCAUGGAAACUAUUGCUUAGGGAGUCCUAUUUUAUUGGCUAGAUUUAAUGUUUGUUUACAUCUAAGUUCUAUGAAUCUUCUCAUGACCUAUUUGUUAUUAAUGAUAUUUGACAACGUCUGCUACUUAUCACUAUAGGUCUACUGGAAAUUUCUAGAUUCAUUGAAUUUAUGUAUUACAUGAAUGUGUGACAAUGUUCUCUUAUGCAUCGGCCAGUAGAAUCGUUUUAUCAUGUUAAUAUCACUCACUAGUGAACAUGCGGUGCACUUACGGUGACUGUCGAUUGCAGUAUACCAGCGUAUAGCGUUCUAUCUUGAACGAUGAUACCAUUGCGGCCUAAUAGAUGCACCGUAUUAUAUAUAUACCCUACCACAUAUGAAACUCCUAUAUAUAUACUUCUCCUUAUGUUGCCUAAACGAAGCCCUAAACGAUCUCCGGCAGAUAUUUGCUGUUAACGCGAAAUGCUCGAAACCGGGCGUAGGUGUUGUUUGAUAGAAUGGCCCCGCUGUCUCAAGAAUAGUUUUAUCGAAACGAAACAUAAACGUUUAGGACACACUGACGUACCUAUUUGCGUGGGGCCAUACAUAGAUCCUCAAUAGGUAGAAAAAAACGCUGCUCUUUUGGCUCCAUAUACCGCUCUGGUGUAUCUUUGUCUGUUCGCCAUUUGAGAAAAGUGGUUGACGGUAGAAAUGUAACGGUGGAACUGCAGAAUCCUGCAGUUAACGCGAACUAUAUUAAUAGUCAGCGCAGUAAAUGUCAAUCGGAAGAACAAAUCAGUCGUUGGAAAGAAUACCUCUAUUCUGAUCGAGAAUUUAAAUUCUAGUGAGUAAUCCUAUAGAACCAUUUCCACUUAAAGGGGGGGGGGGCUUAAGCUAGCGUCAUUAAAUCGCGGCAAAGGCAUAUGCCAUACGCGAGCUAUAAACAAACUUGUCUGGUCCAGUUGAGCCGAUACUGGUGGAAAAAUUAAUUGGUAAUCCUCCCACUAUUUAUAGAAUUUUGUUUAAAAGAAAAUUUGUCCAGUAUUCGUUAGCGCUCGUUGUGAGCUUUAGCGCCGAUAGCUGGCAAACGACAAUAAUGCCGGUGACACAAUGGCAAGCGAUCUGGAAACGUUUGAUGACUAGGGAUUUGAAUACCGUUUACGCUCAAAUGUAAAAUCUAAAUAUUUAAGAAGUGCAAUACCUCGACUGGAUAUGCAGAAAUUUUACUUACAGCUCUUCUAGCUUCUGACACGUUUAUUUCCAUAGAUUUCCAAUCUAUAUCUAUCUAUAUUCAAUCUAUGCACUAGAUAAAUAUAAUCUUGUAUAAAAAAAAAUGUUGUUUCACAUCAGCUUUCAUAAUAAGAAGCUGACAAUUUCUUGUAGAGUGUUUACCUCAUUCCGAGGUAGCACGUCUCAUAAAACGCACUAGCAAAUCGCUAUAUAUCGAGAUCCAUACGCCUAGCUUGAUGUAU
Long non-coding RNA from Varroa destructor (honeybee mite), 3490 nucleotides. The record is from RefSeq and is a predicted model, not a curated record. Lineage: Eukaryota; Metazoa; Arthropoda; Arachnida; Mesostigmata; Varroidae.